Molecule: ribosomal RNA, 389 nt
Filed under: uncultured bacterium
Lineage: Bacteria
Description: bacterial SSU rRNA
Rfam family: Bacterial small subunit ribosomal RNA
Source: RNAcentral
AUUGAACGCUGGCGGAAUGCUUUACACAUGCAAGUCGAGCGGCAGCGCGGGGGCAACCCUGGCGGCGAGCGGCGGACGGGUGAGUAAUACAUCGGAACGUGUCCUUAAGUGGAGGAUAGCUCGGCGAAAGCCGGAUUAAUACCGCAUAAGCUCUGAGGAGGAAAGCGGGGGCUCCGUAAGGACCUCGCGCUGUUGGAGCGGCCGAUGUCGGAUUAGCUAGUUGGUGGGGUAAAGGCCCACCAAGGCGACGAUCCGUAGCUGGUCUGAGAGGAUGAUCAGGCACACUGGAACUGAGACACGGUCCAGACUCCUACGGGAGGCAGCAGUGGGGAAUUUUGGACAAUGGGGGCAACCCUGAUCCAGCCAUUCCGCGUGAGUGAAGAAGGCCU